This 71-nucleotide transfer RNA is filed under the name Marmota monax (woodchuck). RNAcentral describes it as "tRNA.Ala". It matches the Rfam family "tRNA". Rfam says of the family: Transfer RNA (tRNA) molecules are approximately 80 nucleotides in length. The record is from RNAcentral. Lineage: Eukaryota; Metazoa; Chordata; Mammalia; Rodentia; Sciuridae.
GGGGUUGUGGCUCAGUGGUAGAGCGCUCACCUAGCACAUGAGUGGUGCUGGAUUCGAUCCUCAGCACUACA